GGCAAAUAUAGAGCCCAAAGCCCGUUACAACUAAAUAAGCGCUAGGGUUUAAAUCCUUAUUUUGUUCCAGGCCAGCCGCAUUUCUUUCUCAAAGCGUGCUCUCUCUCCUCAUUUCUCUUCUUCCUCUGUCCUCUUCAUUUUCUCUCUCCUAUUCUCUUUCUUUUUAGAUCCAAACCAUCAAUCAUCCACCUUUUAAGCUUUUUACGCCCACCGUUGAGCCACGAGCAUCCACCACAAAGCCAUGAGAUGUUGGUCCUAGCAUUCAAUUGGUUAAGGUUUUUCAGUUUUAGAUUCUAUUUUAAUUUAGGUUAAAUAAAAAUUUAGUUUUUCUCUUUGAGUUUUUAAUUCAAAUUUCUGAUUACAACUAAUUUGUAUUUUUUGUUAUUACUUAGAUCAGACAAGUAUUUACUUUUUGUUUAUUUUGAGAUAAUUGUUUAUGUAAAUUUUUGUGGUGUGGCGGAUUUUCUGUGUAGUGGUGGUUGGUAGGUAUGGUAGGGGCAAUGGUGGUGAGAAUCGUAGGGGUGGGCGCGCCGGUUGGUCCUAGCAACGGCGACAGUGGGUUAUUUUGUCAUUUAAUGUUUUUUAGUUUUUGUUUUGCUCAAAUUUACAAUUUCAUGUUUUCGGCACCAAAUAUCUGAUUUUUUAUUUUAAUUCAAUUUUUUUCAUAGAAAUUGUGCCUUGUCUAUCACAUGCAGCAAAUUAUUGACUUUUGACAACAUUAAUUGUUAGUAUUUCUUGAAAUUAUAUAGAUCCGUGUUUCUGAGCUUUCAAAUUACCAAUGUGCAGGGGAGGGAACCUGGGUACGAGAUUGAACCCGGGUAUUGUGGCGAUGCGAAGGUUUGGUAUUGAUGAUGAGGAAAGGGAUACCAGAUUGUUGUGGGGUGAAUGAUUUGAAGGUAUGACCCACAAGUUCCUACUUUAUUAGCCAACUUGCUGCUGUAUUUGCUUCGUAAGAAGAUUACUGGGCAUUGGGCUCAGCUUCGUCAACUUGUUAAUCAAUCACUUACUAUGUAGCACAGGUUUUCUUUCACUCUCUUCUACAUUGUUUUUCUUGUAUUUUGUUGGGAUUUUGUUUGAAGAAAUUGAGAUGAUAUGAUAUUGAGUAUGUAAUUGAGGUAUAAGUUUUUUGGUGGGUGAUUGGGGAAUAAGUUUGGUAAUGGGGGUAAUUGAGGAAUGAGUUUGAUGAUGGGUAAUUGAGGAAUUAGUUUGAUAAUGGGUAAUUGAGGAAUCAGCUUGAUGAUGAGAAAUUGACGAACUAAUUUGAUAAUGGUUUGUUGUGAAUUAAUUGUUGUAGUUAGGAUUAUUUUACUUGUAUAUAACAAGUGAUUCAAGAAACUUGUCGUAGUUAGGAUUAUUUUAUUAGUGGAAUAGUGUGCAAUGAUUUACUGGAAAUGGUGAAAUGUAUGUUCUAUGAAGACUUAACUUUUAUCAAAUGGGUUGAUGGUUGGUUGUGGGUUAUAUUUUCUGUAUAAGAUUUGCGGUGAUUUUGAGAUUUAUAGUCGUGUGGGUUGUGAUAAUUGGAAUAUCAACCGAAAUUGUUUGACUCUAUUUAUGAAUGUGAAUUGAAUGAAUGAUAGAUAUAGUAAGGGAUUAUCUUUAUAUUUUGUGAUUGCUUCAGUUUUGUUUAUAUUAGUGUGUUUGUCGAGGUUCUUGUUUCCGAGCUUUUUAGAUUAUAUAAUGAAUUUAAGAUAAUCAUUAAAUUGCCAAAGCAUUCUAGAUAUGCGACUGUCAAAAAUGUCAAAUAUAUUCCAAGACAUGUGAUUGUGUAAAACUUGUAAUCAAUUCAAUACUCCUUAUUGUUACUUUGCCCUCUAAUUUUCCUUUACUGUCGUACCUUCUUAAAUACUUCGUAUUAUAAUAUGCUGAUGUUGUGAAUUUGAGCUACUACUUAACCAAAUUAUUAAAUUUGCGACUGUUGUGAAUAUCUGUUUUGUAAAAUUUCUGCCUAAAUACUUCGUAUUAUAACAAGUACCUUUACAGAUUACAUAUGCUCUUAGCUUUGUUGCUUUUGCAUGCCUUUCUGUAUCGAUUAUAUAGUGAUCAGAGGAACUAUUCCAAGGCUAGAUGUUGAUAAUGUGGUCGAGCAGAAGAGUGAUAUUUCCAAAGCAGUUGCUGAUGACUUGAAAAAGUAAGUUUAGGCAUGUAUAUAGCUGCACAAAUAAUCCUAAAGUCCUAUAUAUAUAAUAAAAGGGUUUUGUUCUAGAGAGAGAAACUCUAGCAUCUCUCUAGCCCUUUGAAGAAGGAUCCCGGUGGUUGCCUUGAUCAGAUUCGUUCUUCAAAGAGCUAGAUAGGGAAGCUUGUUUCUUGUUCUUCAAUUUGUCAAAAUACAAACCCUAAGGGCAUUUGGAACUCGGAUAUGUUCUUCGACCUUCGCUCAAGGUUGAAGAAGGGUUUGUUGUUCUGGUAAGUGUGUUGCGCGAUUUGGCUGCUGGAAGGUGUUGCGGGCCUAAUCGGUUUCCUUCUUCAAUUUUCUGGGUUCUUCGCUCAAAAUUGAAGAAGGGACUGAGUUCGUUGUUACGGCGGCUUCUUUGGUUGAAUCGACUACUGGGCGGUGCUAUUUCCCAGCAGUCAGAUUGUGCUGAAAGUGUUGAUUUUUCUUCUACUGGGAUGAUUCCGGGCUUUUGGGCUUCGAUUUUCAAAUCAAACCCUCGGGUUUCUGGUUUUUUUUUUUUUUUUUUUUUUUUGCUCAAGGUGAUGCUGUGUUCUGUUCUAGUUCGCUGAUUUCUGGCUUAUUUCGCCGGUGACGGGUCUAGUUCAGUGGGUUUGGGGUGCGUUUCAAAGUGGUCGGCGAGUCAGUUGGUUCGGCGGUUGAUUUCAACCCCUUGGUUCGGGGGUUUUCUUGCUUGCUUGCGGGAAUUUGCUUGGAGGUUCGAUUUGGGUUGGUGGCUCUGUUUUGCAGGUUCGUUAGGUUCGCCGGUGACUGGGUUUUCUUGUUUUCUGGUCUAUUUCGCCGGUGACUGGUCUAGUUUAGUGGUUUCGGGGUGUAUUUCUUUGUGGUUGGCGAGUCAGUAGGUUCGAUGAUCGUCUUUCAUCCCCUGAUUGGUGUUUUGUUGUCGGGGCAUUGCUCUGUUUUCUAGGUUUGUUUCUCCGAGGGUUCUCUGCUGCUUGCGGGAUCUCUACUUGGAGGUUGAGCUAGGGGGUUGGUGGCAGCUCCCCUGAUUUGUAUAUUCGUUUGAGGUUGAGGUAAUGUCUCAUGGUUUUGAAAUUGUUCAAACACUCAUUACUGAUAUUGAACCUCCAGAGCAGCCUCGACCUCGUCGAAGAAACAGAGAGAGAAUGCAGCAGUUGGAUUCUUAUGAGUUUGUAUUGUAAGGCUUUGAAAAAUGCACUAAAUGAUUGCUCUGAUUUAAUAAAGAAGAGGAAGUUGCCUUGUUCAGCUUUGAAAUUAUGGAGGUUUAGUGAGAAAAAGAAUGAAGAUGUUUAGUGGAAUUAUUUUGUAGCUUUUGAAUCAUGUUAGGAGUUGUUAAGUCAAUUUGGACAUUAGUGCAAGUUGUAUCUUAAUUUAUAAUUAAUUGAAUUUUACAUUUAUUAUUAUUGGAAAGUAAUAAUAAUUUUAAAGAUUUGGCAUCA
Long non-coding RNA from Chenopodium quinoa (quinoa), 3570 nucleotides. RefSeq lists it as uncharacterized. The record is from RefSeq and is a predicted model, not a curated record. NCBI's taxonomy places the organism in Eukaryota, Viridiplantae, Streptophyta, Magnoliopsida, Caryophyllales, Amaranthaceae. The transcript has 2 exons.